This 253-nucleotide ribosomal RNA is filed under the name uncultured bacterium. RNAcentral's name for it is "partial 16S ribosomal RNA". It matches the Rfam family "Bacterial small subunit ribosomal RNA", at positions 524 to 776 of the family's 1533-position model. The record is from RNAcentral.
UACGGAGGGUGCGAGCGUUGUCCGGAAUUAUUGGGCGUAAAGAGCUCGUAGGCGGUUUGUCACGUCGGAUGUGAAAUCCCGGGGCUUAACUCCGGGCCUGCAUUUGAUACGGGCUGACUAGAGUUCGGCAGGGGAGACUGGAAUUCCUGGUGUAGCGGUGAAAUGCGCAGAUAUCAGGAGGAACACCGGUGGCGAAGGCGGGUCUCUGGGCCGAUACUGACGCUGAGGAGCGAAAGCGUGGGGAGCGAACAGG